Non-coding RNA from Yersinia ruckeri, 82 nucleotides. The record is from Rfam. NCBI's taxonomy places the organism in Bacteria, Pseudomonadati, Pseudomonadota, Gammaproteobacteria, Enterobacterales, Yersiniaceae.
AGGGAGGCUAAGUUGUUACGUAAUAACUAAAACAAUGAAAAUUCCUCUUUGACUGGCCAAUAGAGAUAUUGGCCAUUUUUUU